Molecule: non-coding RNA, 2581 nt
Organism: Phoenix dactylifera (date palm)
Lineage: Eukaryota; Viridiplantae; Streptophyta; Magnoliopsida; Arecales; Arecaceae
Source: RefSeq, a predicted model, not a curated record
AUAAAUAUUUAACGUGCACUACUGGCCUUCUUCCGUUCUGUCCCAGACUCCCAGUCGAUCCAACUCCCUUCCCCUUGCGAGCGCCGUCCCCUCCUCCCCCGGUUCCGAUAUCUCCGGCGUUGGUCCGCUGCUCCGCCGCCGUCGCGCCACGGCCGCGAAGUUCCCCGCCGCCGCCGCCAAGGCUAUUCUCCUCUCUGCCCUACCACGCCUGUCUCUUCUGGAGAUGGGACGAAUAGCCGUUGCAGCGGUGGUGAGCUUGUGGGCCAUUCCCAUCUCGAUCUUGGUCAAUAGAAUCGUUCCCGAUCCCUACAUGGAUGAGAUAUUCCACGUCCCUCAGGCGCAGCGGUACUGCAGAGGAGAUUUCACAUCUUGGGAUCCAAUGAUCACCACUCCUCCUGGCCUGUAUUAUCUUUCACUUGCCUAUGUUGCUUCUUUGUUUCCGGGCAUGUGGUUUGCUAAGGCAGUCCAAUCUUUCCCUUUACUCUGUUCGACCACAAUUCUUCGAUCUACCAAUGCUGUUUUUGCCAUUAUUUGUAGCAUUCUUGUUUAUGACUUGCUUAUCCUCUUGAGACCUACUAUGAGCGAAAGGAAGGCAACGUUAUAUGCAAUUGUGUUAACACUCUAUCCAGUUCACUGGUUCUUCACAUUUCUGUACUAUACAGAUGUUGCUUCACUAACUGCAGUUCUUGCAAUGUACAUGGCCAGUUUGAAGGAGGAGUAUUGGAUCAGUGCAAUGCUUGGGGCAUUUGCCAUACUUAUUCGGCAAACAAAUGCAGUGUGGAUGGUUUUUGUUGCUGCUAAUGGUGCUAUCACAUAUGCCGAGAACUCAUAUGAAAAGGUUUUUGUUCCAAGGAACCCUAAGGGAAUAGUGUUUGAGGGCAAUAAUUUGCUAUUAGACAGAAAAGACAUUCCAACAGAUCAAGGAUUGAGGAAGCGAAAGAUGAGUAGCUCCGUUAAUACCACUGACCUAUCUAAAUUCGAGACUAGUGGACAUUCCUUGUGCCAUGCUCCAGCUAAUAGACAUGUGGCAGGUUUUAUUGACGAAAUCCUGGAUACCACUUUAAAGUUAUGGUGUUCGAAGUGGAAAGUCUUGAUUUCUUUUGCACCAUUUAUCAUGGUAGCAUUGGCUUUUUUAGCUUUUGUCAUCUGGAAUGGGAGUAUAGUUCUUGGUGCAAAAGAAGCUCAUGUAGUUUCUCCCCACCUUGCCCAGUUGAUGUAUUUUGGUCUGGUUUCUGGAGCUGCCUUUGCUCCCUUGUACUUUAAUUUAGGCCAAGCUGCAGCUCUGUACCAUUCAUUUAGGAGGAAUAAAGUUCUUGGUUCUUUACUCAUAUUGGUGGCUCUUACUGUAGGCUUUACUUCAAUACACUUUUUCAGCAUAGCCCAUCCGUAUCUGCUGGCAGACAACCGGCACUACACCUUCUAUAUUUGGCGAAAAGUGAUCCAAGUUCACUGGAUGAUGAAAUACCUUUUAGUCCCACUUUAUGUAUAUUCAUGGUUUUCCAUCAUCAGCAUACUAGGGAAAGCUCAGAAUAGGAUUUGGGUGUUCUCUUUCUUCAUAUCUUGCGCACUGGUUCUCAUACCUGCACCACUUAUUGAGUUCAGAUAUUAUACUAUACCGUUCUACUUCUUGAUUCUUCAUUCUCAGGUUACUGAUUAUGACCAGUGGCUGACCGUUGGUACUCUAUAUGUGGCUGUAAAUAUCUUCACAAUGACUAUGUUUCUGUUCCGUCCUUUCCAUUGGGAUCACGAGCCUGGAACUCAGAGGUUUAUAUGGUAGUCUAGUGGCAGAUCUGAAGAGACUGACUAGUUUGUACAAUCACACUCAGAAUAGUACCGGCUAACCUGCAUGUCUGCUUAUCAUGAUUCCCAAGCAAAAUUUGCCUGAUCUUCCAAGAACGUGGUAGAUCAUAAAUUCCAAAUCACAGUUUACAGCAGCUAGAUUCUCACAACUUUUCAUCAUGAUGGAUCAUGGGAGGAUAUCUUGUAAAUCAGGCAUUCACUGCAAAUUGUUGUUUAUCAGCAGAAAAAGGCUGAAGACUUAUAGAACUGAAUUUUAUUCUUCGAGAACUAUGAACAAAAAAUGCUUGGAUCAGACAAGGAAUAUUAAGUAACUUAACCAACAUUCAGGGCAAGCACGACAGACACGGUCUUACUGUUCACAUGAUUGUUGUUGUCAAAUACGCUAUUUUCGUUUAUUUCUUGAGAUGCCGAGCUCAAAAGUAAAUCUUAGACUCAUAGACGUCCAAAUUUCAAUGUUGCAAUCACUAUGUGUGUAGUUGUCUACUUAAUAAAGACAUCUGUACACAAAGUCCCCGCUUCAAACCUCGAUUGCUGCUUCAUGAUCUUUAUCAUAGGUGAAGUAGAAAAUUAAGAUAGUUUGUAGUGAAGUUCUCUCAAACUUUUUAUAAAGCCUUCUCAACAUGAAGUUGUACUUAAACCAAAUAUGUGAUAAUUUUUGAGGCUUGGAUGAUGAUGGACUUAUAUGUGUUCAUAAUUUGAAGAAUAGCUCUCUUAAAAAUCUAAGGCUAUGUUCAGUUCAAGAAUAUGACAAAUGGAAGUAGCGAAAAUUGUGCCCAUGAAA